GGGGCCGUAGCGCAGAGGUCGUCGCAUCCGCCUCCGGAGCGGAGGGUCGCCGGUUCGAUUCCGGCCAGCCCUG
Molecule: transfer RNA, 73 nt
Filed under: Dactylosporangium fulvum
Lineage: Bacteria; Bacillati; Actinomycetota; Actinomycetes; Micromonosporales; Micromonosporaceae
Description: tRNA-Arg
Rfam family: tRNA
About the family: Transfer RNA (tRNA) molecules are approximately 80 nucleotides in length. Their secondary structure includes four short double-helical elements and three loops (D, anti-codon, and T loops).
Source: RNAcentral